RNAcentral lists this transfer RNA (70 nucleotides) under Candidatus Zixiibacteriota bacterium. RNAcentral's name for it is "candidate division Zixibacteria bacterium tRNA-Ser". It matches the Rfam family "tRNA". From Rfam's summary of the family: Transfer RNA (tRNA) molecules are approximately 80 nucleotides in length. Lineage: Bacteria; Pseudomonadati; Candidatus Zixiibacteriota. The record is from RNAcentral.
ACCCAGGUAUAGGUACACACUUGGGCUCAUAACCCAAAGGUCGUAGGUUCGAAUCCUACCCCCGCUACCA